This is a non-coding RNA of Mycena leptocephala, 93 nucleotides long. NCBI's taxonomy places the organism in Eukaryota, Fungi, Basidiomycota, Agaricomycetes, Agaricales, Mycenaceae. The record is from the annotation of a GenBank genome assembly.
GCCCACAUAGAUCAGUUGGUAGAUCGCCUUUCAUUACUCGGUGUUAGCAAAGUCUAUUUGAAGGAGACGGAGGUUCGAACCCUCCUGUGGGCA